GUCUCAGGCCGUAUCAGCCUGAAGGCGCCCGAUCUCGUCUGAUCUCGGAAGCUAAGCAGGGUCGGGCCUGGUUAGGAUCUUGGAUGGGAGACCACCUGGGAAUCCCGGGUGCUCAAGGCU
This is a ribosomal RNA of Bison bison bison, 120 nucleotides long. NCBI's taxonomy places the organism in Eukaryota, Metazoa, Chordata, Mammalia, Artiodactyla, Bovidae. The record is from Ensembl.